RNAcentral lists this long non-coding RNA (223 nucleotides) under Elaeis guineensis (African oil palm). RNAcentral's name for it is "long non-coding RNA (EGUI_LNC040230)". Lineage: Eukaryota; Viridiplantae; Streptophyta; Magnoliopsida; Arecales; Arecaceae. The record is from RNAcentral.
GUUAGAGAUUACAGUUAAAAUCUUCUUCCCUUGGGUCAAUGGUCUCAUAGAUCUCAUCCUGGAUCAAGUUUACAUCAAGUAAUUGAUCUUUUUUAUUUUCAAAAUUAAAAAUAUUAAGAUCAAUGGAUAUGUUUCCAAAUGAGAGCUUCAUGAGUCCAUUGCGACAGUUGAUCAGGGUGUUGGUGGUUGUUAAAAAUGGUCUACCUAAGAUGACUGGGAUGUG